AUCGUUGAGUAUAGUGGUGAGUAUCCCCGCCUGUCACGCGGGAGACCCGGGUUUGAUCCCUGGCAACGGCG
Transfer RNA from Ipomoea nil (Japanese morning glory), 71 nucleotides. It matches the Rfam family "tRNA". From Rfam's summary of the family: Transfer RNA (tRNA) molecules are approximately 80 nucleotides in length. Their secondary structure includes four short double-helical elements and three loops (D, anti-codon, and T loops). The record is from Rfam. Lineage: Eukaryota; Viridiplantae; Streptophyta; Magnoliopsida; Solanales; Convolvulaceae.